RNAcentral lists this long non-coding RNA (703 nucleotides) under Piliocolobus tephrosceles (Ugandan red Colobus). RNAcentral describes it as "lncRNA (ENSPTEG00000030998.1)". Lineage: Eukaryota; Metazoa; Chordata; Mammalia; Primates; Cercopithecidae. The record is from RNAcentral.
GCGGACUCCAGGGAUAAGGUCUUCUUUUUCUCCGGGUUUUUUUGGAGGUGAGGAGGAGACUCCCGAGGCCCCCACCGGACCAAUGCAGGCCGCGGUUGUUCAUCGCCUAGCAACUGGCGGAGCCAAUGGUAGGCGGCGGGGCCUGCGGCGCCGGCGCGCGGGGGCGGGGUGGGAACCUCGGAAACCUGCGGAGGCCGGGAGGCGGCUGCAAGGGGCGGGGAAGGCGGGAGCCCGAGGCGGAGGAGGGGCCGCUGGCGGGAGGCGCUGCUGGCCCUCGGGGCUGCGGGAGCCGGGCUAGGACGCCGAGCGGUGACUCCCCGCCGCUCCCGGGGGCCGUGACGCGCCCUGCUGCUCGGCGAGAGGCUCCGCGCGGCUGUUGGGGCCGUUGCAGGGUGCGGGCGAGCGUCGACCCUGGCCGCUCCUGGAGGAGGUGGUGGGAGAGUCUCAGCAGCGGCCGUGGAGCAUGCGGAGUUUGGCGAUUUGCUCGUGCAGCCGCAAGAGGCAGUCUUCAGAACCAGUUGUUGGGUGGCCGGUGGCCGCUGCAGUGGAGGAGAAUCCCGAGAGUGGUCCAGUAAAAAGUCUAGGGGAAGAAUUUACAUCAUCCAAGAAGCAGGCAUGUGUGAAAAUACUUUAGUUUAGAAUUUUAUCAUGAAAAUACUUUGGUUUAGAAUUUUGUAGUUAACGACAGUAAACUGAAUUGUGA